Molecule: non-coding RNA, 419 nt
Organism: Urocitellus parryii (Arctic ground squirrel)
Lineage: Eukaryota; Metazoa; Chordata; Mammalia; Rodentia; Sciuridae
Source: RefSeq, a predicted model, not a curated record
CCUCAUUCGCAUUCUGAGCAAGGAGUAUAACAUGUACGGCUGGUGGGUAGGAGAACUGAACAGCCUCAUUGGAAUUGUCCCAAAGGAGUAUCUCACCUCUGCCUUUGAAAUGGAAGAAAGAUGAAUCCCAGGAAAUAUUCUUCUCUCUGUCCUGCCUUUAUGAAGAAACAGAUCCAUCCAAUGCUCCCACUCCCUACUCUCACUGGAUUCCUCUCUCCACUGAAGAAACCCAAGUCUCUCCAUCACCUCAAAGUGACUGUGAGCCACCMGUAAGACAACUGGGAAGAGGCACCGUUCAUCAACACUGUUACUAAGCCUGCCUGCUCAUGGCUCCUCCCAUCUCUAAACACGCCCACACACCUACUUCUACCUUUGCCACAGGAUUGACACAAAGAGGACCAUAGAGAUAAACCCCUUGG